Molecule: unclassified non-coding RNA, 706 nt
Filed under: Hevea brasiliensis (rubber tree)
Lineage: Eukaryota; Viridiplantae; Streptophyta; Magnoliopsida; Malpighiales; Euphorbiaceae
Source: RNAcentral
AGAAAGAAGCUCAAACCAAUGGCACAAGUAGAAAUGGCAAGCCCUAAGGAAGGUGCAAGAACUGCAUAAGUGCCUGUAGCAAAUGCAACCACCAUUGCUCCCAUGGCAAGGAAGAUAAACCUGAAGGCAGUUUUUAUUAACCAGUAGUAUUUUGGUCCAUAUCCUAGCAUCACCAUGAUGAAGUAUAUAAAGACAGAAGAAGUAGAAAGAGCCAUAGCUAGAGCGUCUGAUAUAAUAAAUGCUUUAAAAGCUGAAUUUUUUAUCAGAAUGGGAGUGCCUUUCCCUGAGUCUUUUUCAUCACUUAUAUAACCACCAGGUAAGGUGAAUGCGGCUGCAAAAGUUACGGUUGCUACAAGUGCUGCGGCCACCAGAUGUGAGUCUUUGGCUUUUUCUAAUUGAAGUAUUAUCUGUUCUUCUCUCUUUUUUGCCAUUUCUGUUUUACGUUCCGGAUGACGUUUCGUAACUUUGAAAUGAUCUUCGUUGCUCCAAAGCAAGGAAUUCUCUAUGGUAAAGUCUUCGGGGAGGCUACAGUAUAAUUUCUUCCAAAGGAUGAAGGCAUCAGUAUCUCCAUCAAGUAUGAAAGAAGAUAAAGGGAGAUUAAGAGCCUUGAAUACAAGGACAGGCGUAUUCCCAUUAUUAUCUUUCUCAAUUAUGAGGGAAAUUAAUGAUGACUCUUCAAGGAUUGCUUUCAGUACUUCUUCAUUUC